Molecule: ribosomal RNA, 492 nt
Filed under: uncultured bacterium
Lineage: Bacteria
Description: partial 16S ribosomal RNA
Rfam family: Bacterial small subunit ribosomal RNA
Source: RNAcentral
AGUGAACGCUGGCGGUAGGCCUAACACAUGCAAGUCGAACGGCAGCACAGUAAGAGCUUGCUCUUACGGGUGGCGAGUGGCGGACGGGUGAGGAAUACAUCGGAAUCUACUUUUUCGUGGGGGAUAACGUAGGGAAACUUACGCUAAUACCGCAUACGACCUACGGGUGAAAGCAGGGGAUCUUCGGACCUUGCGCGAUUGAAUGAGCCGAUGUCGGAUUAGCUAGUUGGCGGGGCAAAGGCCCACCAAGGCGACGAUCCGUAGCUGGUCUGAGAGGAUGAUCAGCCACACUGGAACUGAGACACGGUCCAGACUCCUACGGGAGGCAGCAGUGGGGAAUAUUGGACAAUGGGCGCAAGCCUGAUCCAGCCAUACCGCGUGGGUGAAGAAGGCCUUCGGGUUGUAAAGCCCUCUUGUUGGGAAAGAAAAGCAGCAGGUUAAUACCCCGCUGUUCUGACGGUACCCAAAGAAUAAGCACCGGCUAACUUCGUG